GGAAGUAAAAGUCGUACAAGGUUUCCGUAGGUGAACCUGCGGAAGGAUCAUUAUUGUAUAACCGAGGUGCGAGGGCUGUCGCUGACCCGAAAGGUCGUGCACGCCCGAGUGCCCUCACACACAUCCAUCUCACCCCUAUGUGCACCACCGCGUGGGUCCCCCUUUGGCUUGUUCGGAGGGGGGCUUACGUUUUCACACAAACUUUGUAUGCAGUGUAGAAUGUAUUUUCUGUUUUUGCGAUCACGCAAUCAAUACAACUUUCAACAACGGAUCUCUUGGCUCUC
This 284-nucleotide unclassified non-coding RNA is filed under the name plant metagenome. Its description in RNAcentral is "partial contains small subunit ribosomal RNA, internal transcribed spacer 1, and 5.8S ribosomal RNA". The stretch from base 1 to 53 matches the Rfam family "Eukaryotic small subunit ribosomal RNA", at positions 1778 to 1831 of the family's 1831-position model. The record is from RNAcentral.